This 334-nucleotide ribosomal RNA is filed under the name uncultured eukaryote. RNAcentral's name for it is "partial 18S ribosomal RNA". It matches the Rfam family "Eukaryotic small subunit ribosomal RNA", at positions 1470 to 1796 of the family's 1831-position model. The record is from RNAcentral.
CCCUUAGAUGUCCGGGGCCGCACGCGCGCUACACUGAAAGAAUCAGCGUGGCUUUCUCCCUGACCCGAAAGGGUUGGGAAACCCGUUGAAUCUCCUUCGUGAUAGGGAUUGGGGCUUGAAAUUGUUCCCCAUGAACGAGGAAUUCCCAGUAAGCGCGAGUCAUAAGCUCGCGUUGAUUACGUCCCUGCCCUUUGUACACACCGCCCGUCGCUACUACCGAUUGAACGGUUUAGUGAGGGCCUCGGAUUGGUCUCGGCCCGCUCUUUACCGGGCGGCGCCGUUGGUCGAGAAGACGCUCGAACUUGAUCGUUUAGAGGAAGUAAAAGUCGUAACA